GCGUGCAGUGAUGAUAUGGUUUAAGCAUUUGAGGAAGAAAAUACCAUUAUAUUGUUCACUGGCUAUUUCAUUUUUGGCUUGUCAUGUUGCUAGGGAAGCAAUUUUGCCAACAAGACAUAAUGAAGUGGUCAAUUGAAGGAAAGCUUCCAUAUUUUGUUGCUCAUGUUGAAAUUGAAAAGCGCCUUGAGCGUUCUUCACCAGCUUGUCCCAUCAGUUCAACCUUAAUGUUUAGGCCUUCUCAAACAGUUCCGAUACAGAAGUUGGAAUCAAUGGCAGCGACCAUUGCUGAGUCCAUAGGCUUGCAUUUACCUCCAGUGAACUUCUAUGAAAUAGCUUCUUGCUAUCUCAAGAAGCUCUCUCUUCCAGUCGAUAAGAUUCUUCCACA
This 385-nucleotide unclassified non-coding RNA is filed under the name Hevea brasiliensis (rubber tree). The record is from RNAcentral. Lineage: Eukaryota; Viridiplantae; Streptophyta; Magnoliopsida; Malpighiales; Euphorbiaceae.